RNAcentral lists this long non-coding RNA (600 nucleotides) under Olea europaea (common olive). RNAcentral describes it as "long non-coding RNA (OEUR_LNC005753)". Lineage: Eukaryota; Viridiplantae; Streptophyta; Magnoliopsida; Lamiales; Oleaceae. The record is from RNAcentral.
AUAAACUACAUCAUUUUUAGUAUUAUCGUAAUAUUAUUUUAUAUUUCUGUCAUUAUUAAAUCCAUAGCCAAAAACUCAAAGUUCGAUACUAAUUAAAUUAUGCCGGCACUAAACAAUGUUUCUGGCUCCGCCCCUACUUGUCGUGAAAAAAUCAUCAAGAAGAGAAGAAAAACAUAACAGUGCAAAGUACCUAUUGAAAAUACUUAACUCGUGGCCACGUCUACUAGCCCAUUUUUCGGUCAAACCAAGCAUCGAUUGAGUGAAAAGAGACCAUAUCCUUGUUCCAAACGACGAGGUGUACCUUUCUAAUUGGCGUGUGCAGCAGGUGGAGCAUAAAGAACCCAAUGCAUAAAUGAUGCGCAGUGACGGUGGGGCGACGUGAGAGCGCUUGAGCACUGUUCCAAUGAUGGUCUUCAAUGGCAGUUUGUUCUUGGUUGUGCUAAGGACCUGUUGGCGUAUUACUUUUCUGUUUCUGGCAAUAUAAUGCUUUUGGACACUUUUGCUCCUAGUCGUUCGAUCAUCAAGUGUUGUUGAUGCAUUGUUGCAGUUGUUGAAUGCUUUAGGGUGAAUAGUAGUGGCCCUAAAGUUGUAAAGUUCGCA